UACGUAGGGUGCGAGCGUUGUCCGGAAUUACUGGGCGUAAAGAGCUCGUAGGUGGUUUGUCGCGUUGUUCGUGAAAACCUGAGGCUUAACCUUGGGCGUGCGGGCGAUACGGGCAGACUGGAGUACUGCAGGGGAGACUGGAAUUCCUGGUGUAGCGGUGGAAUGCGCAGAUAUCGGGAGGAACACCUAGGGCGAAGGCAGCUUGCUGGGACGGUACUGACGCUGAGACGCGAAAGCGUGGGGAGCAAACAGG
RNAcentral lists this ribosomal RNA (253 nucleotides) under uncultured bacterium. Its description in RNAcentral is "partial 16S ribosomal RNA". It matches the Rfam family "Bacterial small subunit ribosomal RNA", at positions 524 to 776 of the family's 1533-position model. The record is from RNAcentral.